AAAAACAUCAUAUCUCGUGAAAGAAACAUUGUAUAACAACCAAACUUGGUAGGUGUCAUGUUGGUGUCAAGGGGGGUGCUUCGAUACGGUCACGUGAUUUUGAUGUCAUCGAUGACAACACUAAAAGCACAACUAUACCGAUUUCAUUUAGAACAAAAAUAUCCAUAUCUCAUAAAAGAAACAUCAUACAAUAACCAAUCUUAGUAUGUGUCAUGAAGGUGUCAAGGGGGUGUACCAAUAUAGUCACGUGAUUGCGACGUCACUAAAGCAACAAUAUUUUGACGUCAUCAAAAUAAAAAGAAUAUAUAUUUCAUUAAAGCACCAUCGUAUGACAACAAAACUCGGUAGGUAUGAUGUAUGUUUCAAAUGGGGUGCAAUAAGACGUCAUCGAUGACGCCAAUAAAGUAAAACUACCCUUACGCCAAAACAUCGUAUGACAACUAAACUCGUUAUAUGCCAUGUAGAUGUCAAGAGUGGGGCGUAAGGGGGUAUAACAAGUUGGUCGCGUGAUCUGUGAAAUCUUUGACGUCAGUUACGAUACAUGGAUUCCCGAAUGCAACCUUUGGAGCAUGUGAUAGGUUUCUUUCGAAAAUCCAGUCAAGAAUUCAGCAAAAAAGUGUUUGUCUGAAAAUAAUAGUGAACGACUAUGAUAAUUUUAUCGUUAUUAAUAAGUGUAUUUCACAGAGAAAAAAACUUUUGUGCACUUGUAGUGCACUCCUUUUCAUCAAACAACAGCGUGAGACAAAACACUCCUUUUGAAAAAUUAUACAAACCGAGUCAAGAUGGGCGUGACGAAAAACAUCAUCAAAUAUCUUUAAAUAAAGCCCAUUUUGCAUCUAAAAGGCGGAAAAAUUCUCUGAGUACUUAGAAAGUAAUAGCAAAAUAUAAAAUGCGACUUUUUUUUAAAUUGAUGCGACUUUUUGUAAAGUGUCAUGUCAUUUGCGACUAGCUGAUGAAGGCUUGCGAGAACAUUUUGAUUUGGUUUUAGAAUUCAAAUAUCUUUAGGGGACCUUUAAGUUAUGAUAAGGUCACAGUGUACAUGGCGACGAAAUUAUCACACUACUUUAGUAACAGGCUAACCGACCGAGGCCGAAGGCCGAGGUUAUUAUUUUCAAGGCCGAGGUCACGGUAUUUCACGAUACGGAGUGUUUUAAAGCCAGAAACUUGUUAUUAAGGCUAAAAAUCGAGAAAAUGAGAGACAGCCGUGCAGCUAGUUUUUUUCCUCCUUUACCGGAAGCCGUGCAAGUAGACACAGCGGAUGAAAAAAUUGCCAUAAACAAUGAAAACAAUUAAACAGCACUCAUUAUGGCUCAUUUUGGUUGUAACAGCAAAUUUACCAUAAUAUGAAACAUAUUUCUAGUUUUCCUGUAUUCUAUUACGGUUCCAGCUCCACUGUGACUUUCUUCUCUUUGCUAGCCUAUGUCGUCUAACCCCAAAGAUAGCAUUUGGUUAAAUACACGAUAGAACUAGACUUCUACCAAUUUAAUAUCCUGUUAUACAUCCAGAUAUUCCAUAUGGCCCUCUCAUUUGGCACCAAAAUAUGUUUGUUUAAACAAUGUAAUAGCAUGAAUGGUCUUGUUGUUUACUUUGUGUUUACAAGUGAAAUAAUAAACAAUGGAGACCAUUAUAUUGUUCAUAAUAAUGAAUAACUUUGGUUUACAGCCUUUUAUGGGGUCCCCUCCCCAGCCGGGAAAGCUUGUGUUACUUACAUAAAUUGCCCAAAUCAGUGUUAACAUUGCUUUAAUAAUUAAAUGUUUUUUAAUAGUAGAAAAAAAUUAUUUUUUUGUUAUACAUGUCACAGCACAGUGACUAAAACAAAUUGCAAUUCCUCAUACAGUAUGCAUAUGAAUUUCUUAAAUAUCCCAGUCAACCCUGCGCGCAGGGUCUAGUUUGUUUCGAAAUGGCGGCUUUUUAGCGGCGAACUGUCACAUUUUGGCAAAUGCUAAGAAAACUAUCGCAAAGCUAAAGUUCUAACAAAUCUGUCAUCAAACAGUAUGGUUUUAAUGCCGUACAGUUAGUCAAAACAGCGAUUGAAGUAAUUACUUGCGUAAUUACGCAAGACGUACGGCUCACAGAUCGAGGGAUAAAUAGGAAGCUCAAAAUACAGACAAUACACCACGAAUAAAAAAAAUUCAAAAUUAAUCUAAAAAUGAUUAAAAUGACUAAGAAAAUAAGGCUGAGUUUACUAGAAAUGUUGUCUUCUUUCAUGGGUGCGUACGGGCUGGCACAGUUGUUCGCAAUAAGCUAAUUGUAGUUUCCCUGCAAUAUCCUGUACACGCUCUGCAAGAAAGGCGAAGGUGAUUGGUUGUCAGCGGCGGUCUAAAAACUAAUAAAAUGCAGUCAGUCUCAUUUAAGAUGAGACACGACACUUAAAUAUCUUACGACAGCUAGAUGUGUGCCGAUUUCCGUGCAAGAAUGGUAGUUCUUACUUUGUUUCGAUUCUUAAGCCUCUUUCUCUUUCUCUUUCUCUCGCUGAUGGUGCAGGGAAACACCAAGCAAGACAUGCACCAAGUUUACCGUAACAGCAUUCCCUCACUUGCCUACCCCGACAAGAAGCUCAAGGGCUCCGCUAUCAAGGCCGUGCCAUCUCCGAGCCUCGUCUCGUGUGCCCAGGAGUGUCUGAAGCUCUUCCCGCGCUGCAAGUCGUACAAUUAUAUCACCACUUCUAUGAUUUGCGAGUUGAACAGCAUCGGAGUGUCGGGAUCAUUGAUCGAACAACUCGAGCAAAUGGAGCCCGCCUCGAAGACAGUGUUUACUCAAGUACUGGACCAAGCGAUGCUGUUCAAGCAAUGUAGCGACCACUUCAAGUACGGCGUGACGCAAAACGGCCUUUACUACCUACAAGAUACUCAUCACAACUGGUACUCAGUCUACUGCGACUUCACAUCAGAGGCCGGGAAGGCCUGGACACUGGUUUUAUCUUUUAGCUACGCAAACCGCGUUAAACCCGAGUUCUCCUCAAUCCCCUUCUUCAAUGACUCCACCUUCUCAGAAGAUAGCCCUAACUGGGAGGCGUACAGACUUUCUAAACCAAGAAUGGAGUCGCUACAAAAUGCGUCAACAUACUGGCGAGUCACCUGUGACUUCGCCUCCAAUGCAAUCGAUUAUACAGAUUAUUUAAGAGCAAGAAUAAGCGAGCUCGAUUUGCUGACAUUCCAGGGUCUAAAUAAGUGCGGUAAAGUUGAGUACAUCAAUGUAAUGGGCCAUAACUGCACAGGGUGCACAGUGCCAUUCUUCCAGGAGAAUUGGAUGAUGCUUCAUCAUGACAGCUCACUUAAUUCCAAAUGCGAAUUUCUUCCAACUAAUGGUAGUGUGGAAAGUCAAGACAACUUUGGAUUAUAUCAGUAUGCAAACCCAAAUUUUCGGUGCACUGCAUCUUAUGAGGCGACGACCAAUUACUGGUUUGGAACGAAGAUAUAAAGAAAUUGGCCGCACCUUCAUCCAUUGAGGAUGAGAAAAUUGAUGCGUGUGUCCUAAAAGACGUAUAAAUAACACAACGACGACAACGACGACGUCCAGCUUUCUUUUUUUUUUUUCGUGAUUCAACUGCAAAGUUUCUAAGCAAUGUGCAAAUAAAUGGCAAACCUCGCGUACAAGUAAUAGCACUUCAGCAUAUUACAUUUUUAUUAAUCACAUUUUACUUUGUUUCUUUUUGUGCUUUCUUUGUACAUCACUCUUUGUUUUGUGGGAUGCGUUGAGCUACGAGUGCACACAUUAUUUUUCUGCCAAGGGCAGCAAAGUGGUCAUCCUCUUUGAUUAUAAAAUGUGGUAGUCCUAUGCUACCUUACGUCUGCGCUAAAACAAUUGACCAGUAAGGUAAGCUGGUUACAAGCUUUGCUGUAACUUGUAUCCAUGGCAACCAUGCCGUUAUGUGUAACGUCAUCUUCGUCCAUGGUAACUACAUGUUAUCUAAGCAUUAAUGACAAGAAGCAGGCAAGCAAUAGCAGGAUGUGGUCGCACAGUGUCCGGCUAGAGCCACCUUUUGUCCGGCGGCUGUUGAUAGAGGGCGUGGUACUGAAAGGGGGGGUCCGGAGUCCGUUCAAUAACGUUGUGUCCGAUUCCGGUUUUUUGCAAGCGACCUUUGCCUCAGGCUUGUUACGAGCGAUAGCCGGGCACGCCACUUGGGUGUUAGGGGACUGGAACGAGUUACAUAAAAGAGGACGGUAUUAAACGUAUUAUCGAUAAAGCAGGAAAAACAUCAAUUUAUAGAGGCGAAGCGCUUAUACAAAUAAAGGUGCUACAUCAGAGAUACAUAAAAUGUUCGUUCUGGUUACUCUCGUCAAUCUCGUCUAUCAUUCAAACGGAAUUACAUUUUGGCGGUUUUUGAUUGGUCAAGAGCCCUGUGAGGGUGGCGUGAUUGGAAACCAUUUUAGUGUUGUCCAAUUAAAACGCUCAAAUAUUUUAAAUGACGUACGCAAGAAAACUGGAGACAGCCGUGCAGCUAGUUUUUUCCCUCCUUUACCGGAAGCCGUGCAAGUAGACACAGCGAAUGAAAAAAUUGCCAUAAACAAUAAAAACAGUUUAACAGUACUCAUUAUGGCUCAUUUUGGUUGUAACGGCAAAUUUACCAUAAUAUGAAACAUAUUUCAAGUUUGCCUGUAUUCUAUAACGGUUACAGCUCCACUAUGACUUUCUUUUCUUGGCUAGCCUAUGCCGUCUACCCCCAAUGAGAUAUCAUUUGGUUAAAUACACGAUAGAACUAGACUUCUACCAAUUUAAUAUCCUGUUAUACAUCCAGGUAUUACAUAUGGCCCUCUCAUUUGGCACCAAAAUAUGUUUGUUUAAACAAUGUAAUAGCAUGAAUGGUCUUGUUGUUUACUUUGUGUUUACAAGUGAAAUAAUAAACAAUGGAGACCAUUAUAUUGUUCAUAAUAAUGAAUAACUUUGGUUUACAGCCUUUUAUGGGGUCCCCUUCCCCGCCGGGAAAGCUUGUGUUACUUACAUAAAUUGCCCAAAUCAGUGUUAACAUUGCUUUAAUAAUUAAAUGUUUUUUAAUAGUAGAAAAAAAAAUAAUUUUUUGUUAUACAUGUCACAGCACAGUGACUAAAACAAAUUGCAAUUCCUCAUACAGUAUGCAUAUGAAUUUCUCAAAUAUCCCAGUCAACCCUGCGCGCAGGGUCUAGUUUGUUUUGAAAUGGCGGCUUUUUACCGGCGAACUGUCACAUUUUGGCAAAUGCUAAGAAAACUAUCGCAAAGCUAAAGUUAUAACAAAUCUGUCAUCAAACAGUAUGGUUUUAAUGUCGUACAGUUAGUCAAAACAGCGACUGAAGUAAUUACUUGCGUAAUUACGCAAGACGUACGGCUCACAGAUCGAGGGAUAAAUAGGAAGCUCAAAAUACAGACAAUAAACCACGAAUAAAUAAUUUCAAAAUUAAUCUAAAAAUAAUUAAAAUGACUAAGAAAAUAAGGCUGAGUUUACUAGAAAUGUUGUCUUAUUUCAUGGGUGCGUACGGGCUGGCACAGUUGUUCGCAAUAAGCUAAUUAAUGUCGCUUUACGCGUGAAAAGGAAAUGCCCGCUUUGCAACGCAAUGAAUACACUAGGCACGACUAUGGCAGAAUAUGGGGGGAGACAGACCGAUCGAAAGCGAGUUAGCGUGACGUGACGACUAGCGCGUGACGUAGCAACUGUAGUGUAAGCAUAUGACCUUCAGGCCUCAUUCAUCUCCCCUAUACUCCGCGUGAAGGAUCGGACGAGAGUAUUGGCUGGUCCACAAACGCACAAGCACACCUUAUAGCAAACAAACCCCGCUUGGGGAAGUCGUCAGACAGAACUAACCGCAGACUCUCGGAGAUACUCCCCGGUUUAUUUUAAUAAUAAAGCAAUGACUAAGUUAAUACUUGUUUACAGUUGAUCGCCAAGCUAACACUGCCUGUACACACAAAGAAACCUGUCAGUAAAAGGGAGGGAGGGUGGGCAAAUGUUUCUUUACAGUACCCGUAGCUUAUGAAGCGAAAGAGCGAAUGACUUUACUUUAGGUGUGGCGCUUUAUAUAGGUAGAUAGCGACCAAUAAGAAUUUUAAGAACGUGUAUAGUAAGGUAUCUCACGUGAAACAUAUUGAGUAAUACCUGUGCUAUCGUAGCAUGAUACGUGUACUCGUACGAUAUAAUUUAUGAGUGACCUUUGAGCCUGGCUCCGGCUCCAUUAACUGAAAUUACCGUCUCUAGUGGUGACGGUAAUUUUGGAUUGUAGUUUUCCCUGCAAUAUCCUGUACACGCUCUGCAAGGAAGGCGAAGGUGAUUGGUUGUCAGCGGCGGUCUAAAAACUAAUAAAAGGCAGUCAGUCUCAUUUAAGAUGAGACACGACACAAAAUAUCUUACGACUGCUAGAUGUGUGCCGAUUUCCUGCAAGAAUGGUAGUUCUUACUUUGUUUCGAUUCUUAAGCCUCUUUCUCUUUCUCUUUCUCUCGCUGAUGGUGCAGGGAAACACCAAGCAAGACAUGCACCAAGUUUACCGUAACAGCAUUCCCUCACUUGCCUACCCCGACAAAGAGCUCAAGGGCUCCGCUAUCAAGGCCGUGCCAUCUCCGAGCCUCGUCUCGUGUGCCCAGGAGUGUCUGAAGCUCUUCCCGCGCUGCAAGUCGUACAAUUAUAUCACCACUUCUAUGAUUUGCGAGUUGAAUAGCAUCGGAGUGUCGGGAUCAUUGAUCGAACAACUCGAGCAAAUGGAGCCCGCCUCGAAGACAGUGUUUACUCAAGUACUGGACCAAACGAUGCUGUUCAAGCAAUGUAGCGACCACUUCAAGUACGGCGUGACGCAAAACGGCCUUUACUACCUACAAGAUACUCAUCACAACUGGUACCCAGUCUACUGCGACUUCACAUCAGAGGCCGGGAAGGCCUGGACACUGGUUUUAUCUUUCAGCUAUGCAAACCACGCUAUGCCCGAGUUCUUCUCAAUUCCCUUCUUAGAUGAUGGCUCUCUCUCAGAAGAUAGCCCUAACUGGGAGGCGUACAGACUUUCCAAACCCAGAAUGGAAUGGCUUCAACAAGUGUCCACCCACUGGAGAGUGACUUGUGACUUUGAAGUGAAAACCAUCGAUUACCGGGAUUAUUUAAGAGCGAGAAUGAGCGAGAUGGAUUUGCUUACAUUCUACGGUUCACCAAAGUGUGGUAAAGUUGAGUACAUCAACGUAAUGGGUCAUAACUGUACUGAAUGCACAGCAUUAUUCGUCCAGUCGAGUUCGGCGAUAUUUCAUCAUGACAGCACAAAAAGUUUCUCCUGCACUUUUCCUCCAACUGCUGGAAGCGUAAGCAGUCAAGACAACUUUGGCUUGUAUGAGUACGCAAACUCGAAUUUUCGCUGCUCGUCUACCAGUCAGGCAACGACAAACUACUGGUUUGGAGCGGAGAUCUAAACAAUCAAAAACCAACUCUUUGCUGUAUAAUAGAGAAACGAUGCGGAAAAAAAUUGUAGAUGCCUCGCCAUCCUGAGGCCCGAGACAAGCUGUCUUGCAUCACAUAUUCCCCAAAUAAUAGCUGACCAUUGCGUUUGUCAAUACUGCAAGGGGUUCCCGAGUCCCUUACAAGACCAGCAGUUGGGUUGGCGCGUCUUUAACAGAUCCGGCGGGGUUUCAAAGAAUUUGUAGGUAGAUCACGAGGUAAUGGGAGGGAAAGUUAUUAUCUCGGCAAAGCAUCAACAUAGCGAUACGAACAAUUACAAUAAAAAAUGUUAGAGCUUUAGUAUAAACACUACCCUGGAGAAGUCUUUGGCAGAGUCGAAUUCCAGUUUUAGGUGUAUUGUAUUCAUUCUUCUGGUUCACGAACACGACUAUUUGGGCUUUUUGUAUUUAUUAGCUAAUCAUUCUGUUUAUAUAUGUCGCGUAAAAACCAGCCUGUAGGGCUGCUGCCUACCUACGCUGUAUUUAAGCUGAGAUGGCUAGCAGUCAUUCAUCAGCACUUACCGAUUUACACUUGACAGUAGAAUCUGACAAUACCCGCCGUCCAGCACGACCAGGUAGACAUUGGUAUCCGCCACAGUUACCAUGAUGUAGCUUCCACAGCGAAGUCUCCCUUCCACUUUACCACUGAGAGAGUAAACAGUUAAUUCAGUACGUACACUAGAGGCGCACUCAGUACGUACACUGAGAGGCGCUAGUGAUACAAUGUUAAAAAUGUUAUGUGCACGUACAUGGGAGGCUGGGGUACGCAGUGUGCACGGAUUGUGGAUACGGACUGUUUGGAUGAUAUGAAGCACACCCUUAUGUUGCAUUUAGAUCCAAAGUGGAAAGCCUUACAAUAAUCAUUAAACAAAAAGAUACAUAUAAGCACGUAACUCAUGGGUUUCUGCUGAUCAUUCAGAGUUAAUUUUCAUGUCCGAUAAAACGUAGAAUAGUGUAGAUUGCUAAGACUUUGAAUAGAGAUUUAUUAAGAGAAUGGGAUGAGAGUCGACUCUGAUUGCGGGCGCACCCUUUCACAAGUGCAGGACAAGACUCACAAACAAGACGACUCACACCCUGGUACGACAUCAGCUAUUUUGUAGUUUAUAUUUAACUAUUUGAGUAAAUAAAAAAUGGGGGUAACCGA
Molecule: RNA transcript, 8524 nt
Organism: Nematostella vectensis (starlet sea anemone)
Lineage: Eukaryota; Metazoa; Cnidaria; Anthozoa; Actiniaria; Edwardsiidae
Exons: 3
Source: RefSeq, a predicted model, not a curated record